AUGGUGGAAAGUUUUUUCGGUUGGGGAUGGGCUCGCGGCCUAUCAGUUUGUUGGUGAGGUAAUGGCUCACCAAGACGACGACGGGUAGCCGGCCUGAGAGGGCGACCGGCCACACUGGGACUGAGACACGGCCCAGACUCCUACGGGAGGCAGCAGUGGGGAAUAUUGCACAAUGGGGGAAACCCUGAUGCAGCGACGCAGCGUGCGGGAUGACGGCCUUCGGGUUGUAAACCGCUUUCAGCAGGGAAGAAGCCCCUUGGGGUGACGGUACCUGCAGAAGAAGUACCGGCUAACUACGUGCCAGCAGCCGCGGUAAUACGUAGGGUACAAGCGUUGUCCGGAAUUAUUGGGCGUAAAGAGCUCGUAGGUGGUUGGUCACGUCUGCUGUGGAAACGCAACGCUUAACGUUGCGCGUGCAGUGGGUACGGGCUGACUAGAGUGCAGUAGGGGAGUCUGGAAUUCCUGGUGUAGCGGUGAAAUGCGCAGAUAUCAGGAGGAACACCGGUGGCGAAGGCGGGACUCUGGGCUGUAACUGACACUGAGGAGCGAAAGCAUGGGGAGCGAACAGGAUUAGAUACCCUGGUAGUCCAUGCCGUAAACGUUGGGCACUAGGUGUGGGGGACAUUCCACGUUCUCCGCGCCGUAGCUAACGCAUUAAGUGCCCCGCCUGGGGAGUACGGUCGCAAGGCUAAAACUCAAAGGAAUUGACGGGGGCCCGCACAAGCGGCGGAGCAUGCGGAUUAAUUCGAUGCAACGCGAAGAACCUUACCAAGGCUUGACAUACACCAGACCGUUCUGGAAACAGUUCCUCCCCUUUGGGGUUGGUGUACAGGUGGUGCAUGGUUGUCGUCAGCUCGUGUCGUGAGAUGUUGGGUUAAGUCCCGCAACGAGCGCAACCCUCGUUCUAUGUUGCCAGCACGUAAUGGUGGGAACUCAUAGGAGACUGCCGGGGUCAACUCGGAGGAAGGUGGGGAUGACGUCAAAUCAUCAUGCCCUUUAUGUCUUGGGCUUCACGCAUGCUACAAUGGCUGGUACAGAGAGAUGCGAGACCGCGAGGUUUUAGCGAAUCCCUUAAAGCCAGUCUCAGUUCGGAUCGUAGUCUGCAAUUCGACUACGUGAAGUCGGAGUCGCUAGAAUCGCAGAUCAGC
RNAcentral lists this ribosomal RNA (1148 nucleotides) under uncultured bacterium. RNAcentral describes it as "bacterial SSU rRNA". It matches the Rfam family "Bacterial small subunit ribosomal RNA", at positions 196 to 1353 of the family's 1533-position model. The record is from RNAcentral.